This 1351-nucleotide ribosomal RNA is filed under the name Cirroteuthis muelleri. RNAcentral describes it as "16S ribosomal RNA". The stretch from base 1071 to 1230 matches the Rfam family "Bacterial large subunit ribosomal RNA", at positions 2473 to 2632 of the family's 2925-position model. Lineage: Eukaryota; Metazoa; Mollusca; Cephalopoda; Octopoda; Cirroteuthidae. The record is from RNAcentral.
AAAAAAAGUUGUUUAGGUUUUAAAAAAAAUUAAUUAAGUAUAAGUUGUAGUAAAAGGUGUAGAAAUAUAAGAUUGUAUAUUAGUACUGAAAGGGAAAAUGAAGUGAUAAUUUUAAAAAUAGUAAAAAUUAAAAUUUGUACCUUUAGCAUUAUGGAUUAAUAAUAUAAUUAAUUUUAUAAUUAAUUCUCGAAUUAAAAGGAUUUAUUUAAUGUAAGGGUUAAACCUAACAACUUUAACGUAGUAUAGUUAUGUUGUUAAUAUUAAAUGGUAGUGAAAUGCUAUUCGACUUUUAUGUUAGCUAGUUUAUUAAUUAUAGCAUAUAAGUGCGGUAUAAUACUUAUAUAGAUGUAUAUAGUGUUAUAUUUAUAUUUAAUGGGGGAAAAGCUUCAUAUUGUUAUUGAGAUUUACUGAAUAAGUUAAUUUUUGUUUAAAUUGAAUUAGAUAAUUUUGUUUAUAAUUUUAAUUGGGUUAAUAGGGAAUAUCUUUAUAUUUGCUAAUAAAUUUUUAUUAAUUAUUGUGAUAGAUAAUUAUAAUGUUAAUAUGAGUAUUUAGGUUCUAAUGAAUUUUAUAUUAUUAACAUUUGAUAUGUAAAAGUAAGUAAAAGUUUAUAAAAUUAGUGUGGUGUAAUAAAGUAAAAAAAAGGAAUUCGGCAAAUAUCAAUUUCGCCUGUUUAUCAAAAACAUGUCUCUUUGUUAGUCUUGUAUAAGGAGUCGGGCCUGCUCGGUGAUGAAUGUAUUUAACAGCUGCGGUAUUUUAACUGUACUAAGGUAGCAUAAUAAUUUGCCUUAUAAAUUAGGGCUAGAAUGAAUGGUUUGACGAAAGUUGGUCUGUCUCUUAAUUAUUUUUUAAAAAUUAAUUUUUAAAGUGAAAAAGCUUAAAUUAUUUAAAGGGACGAGAAGACCCUAUUGAGCUUUAUAUUGAUUAUUUAUAUAUGUGUAUAUUUAUAUAAUUUUUAGAUGAUUUGAUUGGGGUGAUCAAGGAAUAAGUAUUAUAUUUUAACUUCCUUAAAGUAGUUUUAUUAAUAUAUAAAUUAACCAAUUUUAUUGCUUUUAUGAGUAAGUUACCAUAGGGAUAACAGCGUAAUUUUUUUAGAGAGUUCUUAUUGAAAAAAAAGAUUGCGACCUCGAUGUUGGAUUAAAAUAACCUUAAGGUGUAGAAGCUUUAAUUGGUAAAUCUGUUCGAUUUUUAAAAUUUUACAUGAUCUGAGUUCAGACCGGUGUAAGCCAGGUUGGUUUCUAUCUUUUAAUAAUAUUUUUAUGUCUAGUACGAAAGGACCGAUUAUAGCUGAAAUUUUUAUUAUGUAAUAAAAUAUAAAGUUGACAGAAUGUAUGUGAAUGAAUUAGGGUCAUUU